Molecule: non-coding RNA, 1065 nt
Organism: Microcebus murinus (gray mouse lemur)
Lineage: Eukaryota; Metazoa; Chordata; Mammalia; Primates; Cheirogaleidae
Source: RefSeq, a predicted model, not a curated record
UAUUGAAGGAGAAGUUGAGAUACAUAGAAGAAGAGGAACAGACUGAUCAAGUUAGAGGCAGAGGAAAAACCUCUCAUGAUGUGGACAUCUUUCAAUGGUUUCUGUAACGACACUAACAUCAAUGACUACCAAGAUAACUGUGUAGACCUCCAAAAGAUGAAUGAUCAUGGAUGAAGCAGAGAUGGGCCCUAAAUAAGAAUUGAAGCCAAGGAGUGAAGUAUAUACUAUGGGCCAAAUGAAGCAGAAGAUAAAAUAAAGAAUCAUAAGAUGAGAAGAAAGAAUGGAAAGUUGGAGAAGUUAAGUACCUGACCAAAGCCACACAGAUAAAAAAUGGCAGAGCUAGGUUUUGAACCCAGGUCUGUCGGCCUCUACAGCCUAACCUCUUAACCUCUAUGCAUUAAUGCUCCUUUUCAUAUUACUUACCAAGAUCACAGAGAGAGGGUGGCAGAGACAGGAUAUAAAUGAAAGUCUUUGGACCGUAGGCCCGGUGAUUUUACCAUUCCUCUCUUUAAGCCUGAGAUAGAGCCACACUUCAAGGGACGGACAGAUCACUGUGGACUGGGAAGGACAGAGUGUUCAUUUCCUUGUAUUUGACUUGAUUUAUUAAUGGCUAGAGCAGCUGUGAACAUCAGUGGUCCCUUUCUGUGAAGACUUACUUUUUAUCUCUUUCAUUAUGCCACUUCUGUGAUGCCUUCACUUCUGAGUAAUUUUUAAAUAUAAAUGUUUUGUUUCCCUUUCCAAACAGUUUUUCAAGUUGUUUACAGUCAGCCAAGAGCACAUACACAUACACAUAUAGCAGGACUAAAAAACGAGCUGACUGUGGAAUGGAGAUCGAAAAUAACACUACAAGACCUCAAUGCUGGCCCAGGCAAUCUAAGUUUUCCCAGUUUCCAUCUUUAAGAUACCUUUUUCCUUAUGUUGCAUAUGUUCCCAACUCUUGAAGCCUUUCUCCCCAAAUAUUCAAUUUACUUUCACAUAUAUAAUUAGGGGACCCUACACUAAGCAAUACACAGUGUAAGGGAUACAAUAUAAAUCUGCACAGUCUCUGUACUGGGCAUGCCCUGA